AAAAAAAAAAUCUAUGUAUUAAAUAAGCUCAGUGGCUUAUUACAUAAAUGGAAACAUAACAUAAACUUCUAAGUAAUAAUGGACCAUGUAAACUUUUACAGAAGCCCGUGGUCUUAAAGAGACCUCAUCUAAUUAAAGAAAACAACCUUAACUUGUAUUGCUUUAGUGUAUUAUUUUUUGUCAUAAAAAUCUGACUGUUACUUACCCUGAUCAUCUUAACUCUAGAUUAUAACAAAAGGGGCCAACGGGUAACCCAGAAAAAUCAUGGGGUGAAAUGCAAACCCUCUCAAGUAUCAGUGCUUCUGAAGUUCUUUAGGUUCAGAUUCCAAAUGACAGGAAACUGAACAAAUUAUUAAAUGUAGCAGAAAACAAUAUGAACAAUAGGUAGAUUUUACACUUCUGUUCUCCAUCUGCUGUCUUCUAGGCUAAGGAGACCUGCUCCUUCCUACAGCUGCAGCCUCGACUGACCCUCCUAUCUUCCAUCACGCUUCUGUGUCCCUGGGGUGGGUGCUGCAGUCUACACAGGCCCGGACCCGUGGAGGCUGCCUCCAAGGGGGCUCUUCUCCUGUGUCUCCAGCCCCACGGCCGGCUCCCUCCUCCAGUGGGACAAGUAGUCACAGCACCACACCUCCUCUCGCCCUUUACAGAAGGGAGCCUCCCUCCGCAAAGCCGUCUCCCACUCUGCCCCACACCACAGGGCCGCCGUCUUCCCUCCCUGCCCCCACACCACAGGGCAGCCAUCUUCCCUCUCUGCCCCCACGUUACAGGGCCGCCAACUUCCCUCCCUGCCCCCACGUCACAGGGCAGCCUGCAUGGUUCAUAAAAAUUGUGCCCCCCCGCGCCCAAUGCUGUAACUCUAAACACCUCAAACACUUGUUCCUGUUCAACAACUCAAAAUAAAGUGGAAAAGUACAUUCUAAAACAUUGUUUCACUUCUCAGUCCAAAAAUGGUCAGAGGUUAAAAAUUCAGUUCUCCAGACCUUUCUGGUCUCAUCUACAGAUCUCUUAUGACCCUGAUAAAGAAGGGUGAUGGGUUUCUUGACUUCAGCUGUGCUAAAGGUAGGGGGAUUGACAUUUAUGUCUACACCAAGAGAUAAAAAGGCCCAGCUUCUUCCUUAUUCUUAUUUCUGGCCAAAGCAGAUAUCCUUCCUUAUAAUUACUUGGGCUAUUGCUAUUAUAGCCAUCAUUUUCACUAUUUACUAUUAUGGGUAUUUAGAGGCUCAUAAAAAUGUGAGCUUCCUCAAUGCUUAAACAGCACGAGAGAUAAAUCAGAAGCACAGAGCUUUGGCUGACACCGGAUGAGACCUGACUGGGAACAGCUGGAUUGCUCUCUUGACUAAAUAUUUACAAAAGGCGUGAUUAUAUCACGGAGCGACACUGUGCGAAUAUAACAAUUUAUCAAUCAUCUUGUUUAACA
This 1417-nucleotide long non-coding RNA is filed under the name Capra hircus (goat). RNAcentral describes it as "lncRNA (ENSCHIG00010005554.1)". Lineage: Eukaryota; Metazoa; Chordata; Mammalia; Artiodactyla; Bovidae. The record is from RNAcentral.